Molecule: long non-coding RNA, 282 nt
Filed under: Panax ginseng (ginseng)
Lineage: Eukaryota; Viridiplantae; Streptophyta; Magnoliopsida; Apiales; Araliaceae
Description: long non-coding RNA (PGIN_LNC012583)
Source: RNAcentral
AAUAUUUAUUUCCAGUCAAUGAAUUAUCUAUGCACCACGGGCCAAAGAUAAUCAUUUGUAUCACCAGUGGUCAUGAUCAUGCCAAACACCUGUCCAUCUUUGUAUUACGGGCCAAAGAUAUCGAUCAACAGUUCAUCUUUACACUACGGACCAAAGAUAUUCACUAAUCAACAGUUCAUCUUUGCACUACAGGCCAAAGAUAACUUUCAACAUGAUUUAAGUCUGAGAAUUAUGAUAAUGAUAAUACGAAUAAAUCAAAUGAGACCAUAACAUGGAUUCAAU